GACGAACGCUGGCGGCGUGCCUAAUACAUGCAAGUCGAACGCUGAAGGAGGAGCUUGCUCUUCUGGAUGAGUUGCGAACGGGUGAGUAACGCGUAGGUAACCUGCCUGGUAGCGGGGGAUAACUAUUGGAAACGAUAGCUAAUACCGCAUAAUAGUAGAUGUUGCAUGAUAUUUACUUAAAAGGUGCAAUUGCACCACUACCAGAUGGACCCGCGUUGUAUUAGCUAGUUGGUGGGGUAACGGCUCACCAAGGCGACGAUACAUAGCCGACCGGAGAGGGGGAUCGGCCACACUGGGACUGAGACACGGCCCAGACUCCUACGGGAGGCAGCAGUAGGGAAUCUUCGGCAAUGGACGAAAGUCUGACCGAGCAACGCCGCGUGAGUGAAGAAGGUUUUCGGAUCGUAAAGCUCUGUUGUAAGAGAAGAACGAGUGUGAGAGUGGAAAGUUCACACUGUGACGGUAACUUACCAGAAAGGGACGGCUAACUACGUG
RNAcentral lists this ribosomal RNA (495 nucleotides) under uncultured bacterium. RNAcentral's name for it is "partial 16S ribosomal RNA". It matches the Rfam family "Bacterial small subunit ribosomal RNA", at positions 28 to 507 of the family's 1533-position model. The record is from RNAcentral.